CGGACGCCCCCUCUCAGUUCUCGCCUCGUCACCUACCUUCCCUUAUCCCUUCACUGUCUCCCCACUGCUCCUUAUUCCAUGGUGGCCACAAGCCCACAACUCUCUCACUCUCUCCUCAAGCCGCCCCUCCUGUUCGUCCCCACCGCCGGCGCGAGGUCUCGCACUCUUCCCACUCUUCUCAGCCCCUCCUCUUCGAAUCGGUCGCCGAAGUGCCCGAGGAUCCGCUCGAGCUCGGUAUGGUCGCUGGGCGCCGGACGAAGGCCGACGCGGAGGCGCGGGACUUGCCUCCACCAGAUCGGCGGCUGUGGCAAUCAUGUGUCGCAACCUCCGCGGCUGAUGCCUUCCUUUCCAUCUCGCUCGUCGGCGGCUCCCACCACCCUGUGCGUGCGACUGCGCUGCGCCGUGCAAUGCCCAUGUGCGGCAGCAGUGCCGCGGUGACUGGUCCCCUGCAAGUGCAAGCCGGUGCCGGCUUACAAGAAAUGGAUAUUGAAGACCAUCUAAGAGUCAGGGAAUUUGUUCGAUCCUAAAUUUUUGGAACUCUGAACACAAAGAUGGGAAUGGGGAGGCAUACCUGCCUGCCAUAUACAUCAACCCGAAGCUUUUGAGCGUUGUACAGAACAAGCAGGUGCGUUGCCUGAGGAGUUUGUCGGCGCUGAUGUCGGCGACUGUGGAAGGCGACGAUGGCCAACAGUGGCUGGGUGGCGAGGGCACAACAGUGGCUUGGCAGCACCGAUGUCUGACUGUAGUGUGCGUCUAAACGGCGACAUCAAAGAAGACAUCGAGAUUAACUGGGAUGGAACUGGCCACGUAUUGCGCGCAAGAGGAUAGUCUGCACCUGCAUUGGCUAGAAGCGCUUCGUCGCGGGCGUCGUCCGCUAUGCAUGGCGGCGAUGGCGUAGGAGAGGCUGGGCGGCUGCGACGUACGUCCAGGUUGGCAAAGGCAGGCAGAUCGAGCUGAUUCCCAUAAGUUUAGCCAUUUAUUGUGAGGCAGACGUGUUUAUUCCCGUUAAUUAUGGCAAAUUUUCUGUAGUUGAUUGGAACUGUCUGUUGUUUUUUUGCGGGGUAGGUGGAACUGUUCGAUCGAUGGCAGAGUUUCGUCCGUUAAUGUAAAUCGCUAAACGUACACAGGGGAGGUCUGACUUUUAUGUGGACGGUUAGAUGCCUGAUCCUGGGGUGGUAAUUUGUCUUGUCUGGCCUGUGUACGUUUAACCGGGUGGGCAUAGUGAAGAAUAUGUUUACUUGUUUAAUAGUAGUAGAGAUGUAGGCCUUUAGAUUGCAGGUUUGGAUGGAUAGGAUGACUUGGUUCUCCGCCCUCUUUUUUUUAUAGGGGUAGUAGAUACAAGUGUACCCGUAGCAACGCGCGGGGCAUCAUCUAG
Molecule: ribosomal RNA, 1375 nt
Filed under: Triticum aestivum (bread wheat)
Lineage: Eukaryota; Viridiplantae; Streptophyta; Magnoliopsida; Poales; Poaceae
Description: partial small subunit ribosomal RNA
Source: RNAcentral